UGGCAUAACCGUCUGUACUGACCCUUUGCCAAAGCUUUUGGUUCCUACGACUAUGGCGCGGCGGUGGUCUUGCAAAGCGCCCGCGACAAUUUCUGAAGCAGAGGCAGAUCCACCAUUUAUCAAAACUACAAUCGGUUUGCCAAAGGCAAGAUCAUCAGGGGUGGCAUUAUAACGAUCACCAUCCUGAGGAUCACGUCCUCGGGUUGAGACGAUCUCACCUUUUUCCAAAAAGGCAUCAGAGACUUUGAUAGCCUGAGACAGUAGACCGCCCGGAUUAUUGCGCA
Molecule: non-coding RNA, 284 nt
Filed under: marine eukaryotic metagenome
Source: RNAcentral